RNAcentral lists this microRNA precursor (204 nucleotides) under Oryza brachyantha (malo sina). Its description in RNAcentral is "MIR812 microRNA precursor family". It matches the Rfam family "MIR812 microRNA precursor family". The record is from Rfam by way of RNAcentral. Lineage: Eukaryota; Viridiplantae; Streptophyta; Magnoliopsida; Poales; Poaceae.
UUUAUAUGACGCCGUUAACUUUUAGGUCCACGUUUGACCAUUCGUCUUAUUAAAAAAAUUAUAUAAAUAUUAAUUAGUUUGUUAUAAUAUGAUUUAUUAUAAUAGAAACUUUAAUUAUGUAUUAUAAUUUUGUAUAUUUGGAUAAAAAUUUUGAAUAAGACGAAUGGUCAAAUGUGAUUCUAAAAGUCAACGGUGUCAUACAUA